Molecule: ribosomal RNA, 1269 nt
Filed under: Dexia fulvifera
Lineage: Eukaryota; Metazoa; Arthropoda; Insecta; Diptera; Tachinidae
Description: eukaryotic LSU rRNA
Rfam family: Eukaryotic large subunit ribosomal RNA
Source: RNAcentral
GAAUGUCAAAUUUCUAAUAUGAGAAAUUAACGAUUUAAGUCCUUCUUAAAUGAGGCCAUUUACCCAAAGAGGGUGCCAGGCCCGUAUAACGUUAAUGAUUAUUAGAUGACAUUUCCUAAGAGUCGUGUUGCUUGAUAGUGCAGCACUAAGUGGGUGGUAAACUCCAUCUAAAACUAAAUAUAACCAUGAGACCGAUAGUAAACAAGUACCGUGAGGGAAAGUUGAAAAGAACUCUGAAUAGAGAGUUAAAUAGUACGUGAAACUGCUUAGAGGUUAAGCCCGAUGAACCUGAAUAAUCAAUUAUGGAGUACUCAUCAUUAUGAUUUUAAUAUUUUAAAAAUAUUAAAAUAAUGGUGUGCAUUUUCUUCAUAAAAUGACAUUGUAAUCUAUUAACAUUAAAAAUAUUUAUCAAAAGAUCAUAUUGCACUAGUUUAUUCCAAUUAAUUUGCUUGCAAUUUAACACAGAGUAAAUGCAUUUGAUUUGAUAAAGUGUUGAUAGAUUUUAUUUAUAUAUAGUGCUUAAAUAUAUAAUAUAUAUUUUAUAAUAUCAUAUUAAUCAAGAUUUUUAUGUUUAUUAUAUGCACUUAUAUGAUUAACAAUGCGAAAGAUUCAGGAUACCUUCGGGACCCGUCUUGAAACACGGACCAAGGAGUCUAACAUAUUUGCAAGUUAUUGGGAAUAAAAACCUAAUAGCGUAAUUAACAUAACUUUGUUUUAAUAUGGGAUUAGUUUUUAGUACAAUUUUUGUGCUAUUAAUUCAAUCCCGGGGCGUUCAUUACAGUUAUGUAUAAUAAUAUUUAUAUUAUUUAUACCUCUAACUAGAGCGUACCUUGAGCAUAUAUGCUGUGACCCGAAAGAUGGUGAUCUAUACUUGAUCAGGUUGAAGUCAGGGGAAACCCUGAUGGAAGACCGAAACAGUUCUGACGUGCAAAUCGAUUGUCAGAAUUGAGUAUAGGGGCGAAAGACCAAUCGAACCAUCUAGUAGCUGGUUCCCUCCGAAGUUUCCCUCAGGAUAGCUGGUGCAUUUAAAAAUUAUGUAAAAUAAUCUUAUCUGGUAAAGCGAAUGAUUAGAGGCCUUAGGGUCGAAACGACCUUAACCUAUUCUCAAACUUUAAAUGGGUAAGAACCUCACCUUUCUUGGUAUGAAGGUAGUGGUUGUGAUAUAAUGUGCCCAGUGGGCCACUUUUGGUAAGCAGAACUGGCGCUGUGGGAUGAACCAAACGUAAUGUUACGGUGCCCAAAUUAACAACUCAUGCAGAUACCAUGAAA